GAUGAAACAAAACAAACCAUGCUAGAUGCUUCCAAUCAACCUUUUUGGUUUCUUAUCAAAAGGAGGCACCUCUUCAAUGAAAGACAGACAGUAAAAUCUCCAUGUUGAAAAAUAAAACCAGAGGUAAAAUUGAAAGCUGAAUAAAUUUACAUCUCCUUGCAAAACUUUAUUAUAUAAUCCAUUAUAUAAUCCCCCAGUAGAUUUGUCAAAUCAAUGAGUAAAAAGAAAAAUGACCAUAUAUUCAUGAAGCCUCAAUUCUUUCACAUGUAAACACAUCACUCUAUCAGCUUUAGUCCUCCAUCUGGCUCUUUACAGAUUUUAUCUUCUAGAGUAAAUGACUUUCUCUUGCACAGAACCUAGAAAACAUAUAAUUCUUUCUGAAAUGUUUCUCUCAGGUUUACUGAAAACAACAGUGAGGCUCUGGCUCUUCAAUGGAAGCUGAUUUCAUUGCAAGAAGAUCACACCGCAAAGAAGCAGGCUCUUUUCUGUCAUCAACUGGAGGAGGAAAAGGGGGCAAAAUGAGGAUCUUGAAGAUUUCUGCCAGGAUAUGUUAUUUAAAACAUUUCUCAGCUGUACUCUAUUGUAGAAUGAGAAGGAACUCAUCCAAGUAAUCAUCAUUUAUAAUCUUGGAAGACUUUCAAUAAACUAGUUGCCUGACUGAUCAUAAAUAAUCCAGACAUUUCCAAAGUACGCUGAAAUGUGCCUGCUAUACUGUGGUGAGUCAACAAUGAAUUUUCAAAUCUUCCAUCAACAUCAGUGAAACGUUAAUGAACACCAGCACUGGAAAUGGGAUGCCAGAGCAUAUAUAACUACAGGUAAGAAUUUUAGAGAUAUGCUUUAGCUAGAACCUCGCCAUAUUUUAACAUCCAUUUCUGUUAGGC
Molecule: long non-coding RNA, 881 nt
Filed under: Ornithorhynchus anatinus (platypus)
Lineage: Eukaryota; Metazoa; Chordata; Mammalia; Monotremata; Ornithorhynchidae
Description: lncRNA (ENSOANG00000047803.1)
Source: RNAcentral